Transfer RNA from Camelus ferus (Wild Bactrian camel), 69 nucleotides. It matches the Rfam family "tRNA". From Rfam's summary of the family: Transfer RNA (tRNA) molecules are approximately 80 nucleotides in length. Their secondary structure includes four short double-helical elements and three loops (D, anti-codon, and T loops). The record is from Rfam. Lineage: Eukaryota; Metazoa; Chordata; Mammalia; Artiodactyla; Camelidae.
GGAUAUAGCUCAGUGGUAGAGCGAAUGCUUAGCAUGCAUGAGGUCCAGGUUCAAUCCCCAGUUCCUCCA